GGUCAAGUAAUGAAGUGCACAUGGUGGAUGCCUUGGCAGUCAGAGGCGAUGAAAGACGUGAUAGCCUGCGAUAAGCGUCGGUGAGGUGGCAAUAUCCUGUGACCCGGCGAUUUCUGAAUGGGGAAACCCACCUAAGAUAACUUAGGUAUCAUAAUUUAUUUUAUGAGGCGAACCGGGAGAAGUGAAACAUCUCAGUACCCCGAGGAAAAGACAUCAAUUGAGAUUCCCCAAGUAGCGGCGAGCGAACGGGGAGUAGCCGAUUAGAUUUGUAGUAGCAAAAUGGCGUGGGAAAGCCAACCAUAGUAGGUGAUAGUCCUGUAUGCGAAACUGCAAUUUUAACAUAUUAAGUAGGGCGGAACACGAGAAAUUCUGUCUGAAGAUGGGGGGACCAUCCUCCAAGGCUAAAUACUCCUGACUGACCGAUAGUGAACCAGUACCGUGAGGGAAAGGCGAAAAGAACCCCUGUUAGGGGAGUGAAAUAGAACCUGAAACCGUGUGCAUACAAGCAGUCGGAGCGGACUUGUUCCGUGACGGCGUACCUUUUGUAUAAUGGGUCAGCGACUUAUAUUCUGUAGCAAGCUUAACCGUGUAGGGGAGGCGUAGGGAAACCGAGUCUUAAUAGGGCGUUUUAGUUGCAGGGUAUAGACCCGAAACCGAGUGAUCUAUCCAUGAGCAGGUUGAAAGUGCCGUAACAGGCACCGGAGGACCGAACCCACUCCCGUUGAAAAGGUAGGGGAUGACUUGUGGAUAGGGGUGAAAGGCUAAUCAAACUCGGUGAUAGCUGGUUCUCCCCGAAAGCUAUUUAGGUAGCGCCUCGGACGAAUACCUUGGGGGGUAGAGCACUGUUUCGGCUAGGGGGUCAUCCCGACUUACCAAACCGAUGCAAACUCCGAAUACCCAAGAGUACUAUCCGGGAGACAGACGGCGGGUGCUAACGUCCGUCGUCAAGAGGGAAACAACCCAGACCGCCAGCUAAGGCCCCAAAUUCCUAGUUAAGUGGGAAACGAUGUGGGAAGGCACAGACAGCUAGGAGGUUGGCUUAGAAGCAGCCACCCUUUAAAGAAAGCGUAAUAGCUCACUAGUCGAGUCGGCCUGCGCGGAAGAUGUAACGGGGCUCAAACUAGGAGCCGAAGCUGCGGAUUUAAUUGUUUCAAUUAAGUGGUAGGGGAGCGUUGUGUAAGCCUGUGAAGGUGUAUCGUAAGGUAUGCUGGAGGUAUCACAAGAGCGAAUGCUGACGUGAGUAACGACAAAACGGGUGAAAAGCCCGUUCGCCGGAAGACCAAGGGUUCCAGUCCAACGUUAAUCGGGGCUGGGUGAGUCGACCCCUAAGGCGAGGCCGAAAGGCGUAGUCGAUGGGAAAUCGGUUAAUAUUCCGAUACUUGUUUAUGAUGCGAUGGAGGGACGGAGAAGGUUAUGUCAGCCUGGCGUUGGUUGUCCAGGUGGAAGGAUGUAGGUAGGUUUAGUAGGCAAAUCCGCUAGACUAUUACUGAGAUCUGAUAGCAAGCCAGUUUACUGGCGAAGUGGCAAAUACCCUGCUUCCAGGAAAAGCUUCUAAGCGAUAGUCAUAAACAAAUCGUACCCGAAACCGACACAGGUGGUCAGGUAGAGAAUACCAAGGCGCUUGAGAGAACUCUGCUGAAGGAACUAGGCAAAAUGGUACCGUAACUUCGGGAGAAGGUACGCUGCUGAUGGUGAUAAGACUUGCUCUUUGAGCUGUUGGCAGUCGCAGAUACCAGGCUGCUGCAACUGUUUAUUAAAAACACAGCACUCUGCAAACACGAAAGUGGACGUAUAGGGUGUGAUGCCUGCCCGGUGCUGGAAGGUUAAUUGAUGGGGUUAGCGUAUGCGAAGCUCUUGAUCGAAGCCCCAGUAAACGGCGGCCGUAACUAUAACGGUCCUAAGGUAGCGAAAUUCCUUGUCGGGUAAGUUCCGACCUGCACGAAUGGCAUAAUGAUGGCAGCGCUGUCUCCAGCAGAGACUCAGUGAAAUCGAAAUCGCAGUGAAGAUGCUGUGUACCCGCGGCUAGACGGAAAGACCCCGUGAACCUUUACUACAGCUUUACAUUGAACUUUGACCUAACUUGUGUAGGAUAGGUGGGAGGCUUUGAAGUGGCGACGCCAGUUGCCAUGGAGCCAACCUUGAAAUACCACCCUGGUUAUGUUGGGGUUCUAACUUAGAUAUAACAGUAUCAAGGACAAUGUAUGGUGGGUAGUUUGACUGGGGCGGUCUCCUCCUAAAGAGUAACGGAGGAGUACGAAGGUGCGCUCAGAACGGUCGGAAAUCGUUCAAAGAGUAUAAAGGCAAAAGCGCGCUUAACUGCGAGACCCACAAGUCGAGCAGGUACGAAAGUAGGUCUUAGUGAUCCGGUGGUUCUGUAUGGAAGGGCCAUCGCUCAACGGAUAAAAGGUACUCUGGGGAUAACAGGCUGAUACCGCCCAAGAGUUCAUAUCGACGGCGGUGUUUGGCACCUCGAUGUCGGCUCAUCUCAUCCUGGGGCUGAAGCAGGUCCCAAGGGUAUGGCUGUUCGCCAUUUAAAGAGGUACGCGAGCUGGGUUUAGAACGUCGUGAGACAGUUCGGUCCCUAUCUACCGUGGGCGUUGGAAAUUUGAGAGGAUCUGCUCCUAGUACGAGAGGACCAGAGUGGACGAACCUCUGGUGUUCCGGUUGUUACGCCAGUAGCACUGCCGGGUAGCUAUGUUCGGAUGGGAUAACCGCUGAAAGCAUCUAAGCGGGAAGCCCACCUCAAGAUAAGAUUUCCCUAAAGAGCCGUUGUAGACUACGACGUUGAUAGGUUGGGUGUGGAAGUGUAGUGAUACAUGUAGCUAACCAAUACUAAUUGCUCGUUUGGCUUGACCAU
Non-coding RNA from Moraxella cuniculi DSM 21768, 2857 nucleotides. Lineage: Bacteria; Pseudomonadati; Pseudomonadota; Gammaproteobacteria; Moraxellales; Moraxellaceae. The record is from Rfam.